Molecule: ribosomal RNA, 418 nt
Filed under: uncultured bacterium
Lineage: Bacteria
Description: bacterial SSU rRNA
Rfam family: Bacterial small subunit ribosomal RNA
Source: RNAcentral
GGAAUAUUGGACAAUGGAGGCAACUCUGAUCCAGCCAUCCCGCGUGCAGGAUGAAUGCCCUACGGGUUGUAAACUGCUUUUGUUAGGGAAGAACUCCUCUCUUUUAAGAGGGGCUGACGGUACCUUUCGAAUAAGCACCGGCUAACUCCGUGCCAGCAGCCGCGGCAAUACGCAGGGUGCAAGCGUUAUCCGGAAUCACUGGGUUUAAAGGGUGCGUAGGCGGCGCAGUAAGUCAGAGGUGAAAGCCCGUGGCUCAACCAUGGAAUUGCCUUUGAUACUGUUGUGCUUGAAUCAGGUUGAGGACAGCGGAAUGUGGCAUGUAGCGGUGAAAUGCAUAGAUAUGCCAUAGAACACCGAUUGCGAAGGCAGCUGUCUGGGCCUGUAUUGACGCUGAGGCACGAAAGCGUGGGGAGCGAAC